GGCUCAGCCGCGCCCCGGGCCGCACGCUGUGGGAGCGAACCCACGGAGGCCGCGCUCACGGGAGCCUCGUCAGUCAGGCCUGAGUGAGCGAGCGGCCCGAGCGCCAGGUGCGGAAAGGCGCAGCAUCCCGGGCGGGCGGCGCGGCCGCGGCCCAGUCACCCCAGGGAGCGCCCUCAGUGAACAGUGCUGAAACCAACCCCAAGAAGACGUCCACAAAGUGCUGCGCUGCCCCGGGGCCCUGAAGGGAGCCUUCGAGACGGAAGGGCCCGGGGAGACAGGGGCUGGUGGAGUUUGCUUUUGGACACUUGGUGUUUGGAGCCGGAGGGCACGGACUCCUUCCAGACUGCGCCAGUGCUCGGACGUCAGAGAGGGACGCGGACGCAGCUGCCUCCUGGGCUUAUUUUCGGAAGGGAGAUUGGCUGCAGUCAGUGACACGUGGGCAGCUGGUCCCCAGGUCUUCCUGACACCGAGGCCCAUGUGCUGACUGCCUUUCACAUGCAGGACUCACAUCUGCACGCAGAGCUGACCCAGGAGACUGAGGGUCUUGCCCAGAGUGAAGUCCAGACCUGCAAGGGAGGCAGCAGUUUCUGGUUAUACCCUGGGGAUCUGGGACUUCGAGGUAAGACAUUCUUCUGAUAUGCGAGGGUCGUUCAAAAACUACUGGGCAGCCUCCAGACAGGACA
RNAcentral lists this long non-coding RNA (683 nucleotides) under Camelus dromedarius (Arabian camel). RNAcentral describes it as "lncRNA (ENSCDRG00005020395.1)". The record is from RNAcentral. Lineage: Eukaryota; Metazoa; Chordata; Mammalia; Artiodactyla; Camelidae.